Molecule: ribosomal RNA, 460 nt
Filed under: uncultured bacterium
Lineage: Bacteria
Description: partial 16S ribosomal RNA
Rfam family: Bacterial small subunit ribosomal RNA
Source: RNAcentral
CCUACGGGUGGCAGCAGUGAGGAAUAUUGGUCAAUGGGCGCGAGCCUGAACCAGCCAAGUCGCGUGAGGGAGGACGGCCCUACGGGUUGUAAACCUCUUUUGCCGGGGAGCAACGGGCGCCACGUGUGGCGUCACUGAGAGUACCCGGAGAAAAAGCAUCGGCUAACUCCGUCCCAGCAGCGGCGGUAAUACGGAGGAGGCGAGCGUUAGCAGGAUUGAUUGGGUUUAAAGGUGGCGUAGGCGGUUCGUAAAGUCAGGGGUCAAAUUGCGGGGCUCAACCCCUUCCCGCCAUUGCAACUGGCGUUCUUGCGUGGACGCGCAGUAUGCGGAAUGCGUGUUGUAGCGGUGAACUGCAUAGAUAUCACGCAGAACCCCGAUUGCGAAGGCAGCAUGCCGGCUUCCGACUGACGCUGAAGCACGAAAGCGUGGGGAUCGAACAGGAUUAGAUACCCUUGUAGUC